RNAcentral lists this ribosomal RNA (800 nucleotides) under Bacillus sp. CO21. RNAcentral's name for it is "bacterial SSU rRNA". It matches the Rfam family "Bacterial small subunit ribosomal RNA", at positions 370 to 1163 of the family's 1533-position model. Lineage: Bacteria; Bacillati; Bacillota; Bacilli; Caryophanales; Bacillaceae. The record is from RNAcentral.
CAUGGACGAAAGUCUGACGGAGCAACGCCGCGUGAGUGAUGAAGGUUUUCGGAUCGUAAAGCUCUGUUGUUAGGGAAGAACAAGUGCGAGAGUAACUGCUCGCACCUUGACGGUACCUAACCAGAAAGCCACGGCUAACUACGUGCCAGCAGCCGCGGUAAUACGUAGGUGGCAAGCGUUGUCCGGAAUUAUUGGGCGUAAAGGGCUCGCAGGCGGUUUCUUAAGUCUGAUGUGAAAGCCCCCGGCUCAACCGGGGAGGGUCAUUGGAAACUGGGAAACUUGAGUGCAGAAGAGGAGAGUGGAAUUCCACGUGUAGCGGUGAAAUGCGUAGAGAUGUGGAGGAACACCAGUGGCGAAGGCGACUCUCUGGUCUGUAACUGACGCUGAGGAGCGAAAGCGUGGGGAGCGAACAGGAUUAGAUACCCUGGUAGUCCACGCCGUAAACGAUGAGUGCUAAGUGUUAGGGGGUUUCCGCCCCUUAGUGCUGCAGCUAACGCAUUAAGCACUCCGCCUGGGGAGUACGGUCGCAAGACUGAAACUCAAAGGAAUUGACGGGGGCCCGCACAAGCGGUGGAGCAUGUGGUUUAAUUCGAAGCAACGCGAAGAACCUUACCAGGUCUUGACAUCCUCUGACAACCCUAGAGAUAGGGCUUUCCCUUCGGGGACAGAGUGACAGGUGGUGCAUGGUUGUCGUCAGCUCGUGUCGUGAGAUGUUGGGUUAAGUCCCGCAACGAGCGCAACCCUUGAUCUUAGUUGCCAGCAUUUAGUUGGGCACUCUAAGGUGACUGCCGGUGACAAAC